This 21649-nucleotide long non-coding RNA is filed under the name Ananas comosus (pineapple). RNAcentral describes it as "long non-coding RNA (ACOM_LNC015577)". Lineage: Eukaryota; Viridiplantae; Streptophyta; Magnoliopsida; Poales; Bromeliaceae. The record is from RNAcentral.
GAAAGGAUUCUUCAUGCUUCUAUUUUAAAGCAACCCAAACUAGAGAGUGCAUGCACAACAAAUAAUACAUUUUAUAUAUAGAAGAGAGAAAAUGGGGGAAUGUUGUAAGAGGAUCUUGUUGAGUGCUUCUUUUGGCCAUAGAGAAUACAUUGUGCUAUUUCUAGUGAUGUUUCAGCUUGUUAGGGUUUUAGGAGGGUACACUCCGAAGAAUCAAACGAAGAUUCCCGCUGUGUUCGCGUUUGGCGAUUCGAUUAUCGACCCAGGUAACAACAACCACCUCAAGACCCUGAUCAAGUGCAAUUUCCCGCCCUACGGUAAGGAUUUCAUCGGGCACCAGCCGACUGGGAGGUUCUCGAAUGGAAAGAUCCCAACCGAUUUACUCGGUACGUAUACUUUUGUGAGAAGAACAAAAUUGUGAAACGUAUAUAAUUUGAUGUUAACUUUCGUUGUUUGACUCAGCUAAAGCUUUGAAAGGUGCUAAUAGUCAUUUUCGUAUGAUCUAUAAAGAUGUUUUUAUUGAAUGCUACGUAUAUAAAGUUCACGAUAAUGACUAUUAAUUGUUAGUGCUUACCAAACUAAUUAAGAAUCAAAAGCUCACUUCAACUUCAUUCUUCGGCUAAACGCUCUAAAAUUCUCUCUCUUUUUUUCUCCCCUUUUCUUUUGGCAAAUUUAAUUUCUGACUUCUCCUUCUUGAGCAAACACGUUGCAUGUGCUUAUCUUCUGCGGAGUAUGAUAAUAUGAGUUGAGAAGGAAUAAAGUGUUAAUUACUAAAAGCUAAAAAAUUUUAAAUCAAGCUUAUUACAUACUACGAGAGAUUUUUUUUUUUUGAGAAAAAGGUAGCACGCUAUCCGCUUCAUUCAUUGGAAAAAUGAACUAGGCUAUAAGGGUGGGGCAACCCGGGCUCCUAUACUACGAGAGAUUUAUUAGAGACUUAUUUGGUGACGAAGAGAUAAAACCAAAAGAGUAAGCACUAUCCUCGUAAUGUGAGGAACAAUAACUCACCUCAUCCAUAUGUGCGCGCGCGCGCGUGUGUAUAUAUAUAUAUAUAUAUGUAUGUGACCAUUUCUGUAUAUAAUGUGGGAUAUAUUUAUAGCAACUAUAUCUUAAUGAGAGCCAAACUAUAGAAAAAUAAUAUUAUUGUAGUCAUUGGCCAAAACAAAUGGGACAAUGGCCAAAACAAAUGGGAUUUUUUUAGUGUUACAAGCUGUAAUCUUGUGCUCACUUUGUACAAUAGUUUAGAUGAGCUUUAAGUUCAUAAAAUAAUUACAUCAAAUUUGAACUUAAGGAUUUAAUUACCAUUCGUAACAAAUGAGGAAAUGCUAUAUGCCCACAUCAUUCUACCCAUACGCAUACACGCACACACAUGCUAACAUAGAAUAGUUGAACAUCUUAUUAGGUUAUAUUUCACAUCGAUCAGGAUAUUUUCACUUUGUCAUCCAGUAAUUCCAAAAGUUACAGCUAAUCAUUAAAUAUUUUUAUUUUUAUUUUUAUUUUACUAUAAGGAUCUGUUGUCAUAUAGGAUGACAAAGUUAUAAGUUAUGCAAUUCACAGUUAAUGCAACUUUCGAACUACAGGAACAUGAUAAAGAAAAAAAAAUGCACUAAAUCACAGGGGAGCAAAUUUAAAUGCAUUGUGUACUUAAACUUCGAUUGAUGGAAAGCAACGAUAGCAUAUCUAUAACUUAAUUAGAUUGUGACUCUUGAUCCACAAAUAUUGCGAAUAUGACAACACUUAUUUUGGAAUUAGUUAUAAUAAAAGAUUCUAAAACGUUACUAACCUCUCAAAUUAAGGUGCUAGGUUGUUGAGUGAGAUCUAACCCCUUGCAUUAAAUGUGUUUGUGACUGCUUGUUGAGCUCACACUUGCCAAUUUUAACAACCAGUUACCUAAGGGGAUUUGAAUUUAACUUUUCGGCCAUUUUGUUUUACCGAAAGUGAAGUUCCAAUUGAAAUAGACUUUUCGAUAAAAUAGAGUCGAGGAAAAAAUUAUGCUUCUUCUGCUGUUUGUUUCUGUAGCCAUGGAAUUGAAGUUUUUCUAGCUAUUUUUGCUAUUUGUUUUGCAGAAGAUGAAUUACGUAAAACCUUCCCUAUAAAUAAUAUUUUAUUAUUUUUUCACCAUUUGUAAUUGGCUAGCUAGGUAUGGGUGGGCCGAAGUGAAUUUUAGUAUUUUUGAGAAGUUUGAAUUUUGACCGAAGAUAAAAUUAUGGUGAACCAAAUAAUACAAGUGAAUAUUUACGAUCGAAAAUCAUUUCAUCCAACUCUAUUUCUGGUGAAACAAACACACCCUUGAAGUUUACUCUCGCAAAUUUGUCCCCAGUUGGAUGUCAAUUUUGAUUCGUCUGCGGAUUUUCGGUCUCCCAUGAUAACCUCAUGAGUAAAUUCUAGUAAAAAAAUAUAUAUAUAUCUUUCUAAUUCUGCAAGUUGAACUGGCUCGCCAAAUACGUUGCACGAUUACUUUAAAUUAGCGACUAAAUUAUUACAGAAAAACAGUUAAUAUUCUUAAAUAUAAGAAUAUUAUAAAAGAUACCAUUCUAUACUAUUUUAACCUUUUGAAGAAUAAUGGUUAUUUCAUAUAUUUUAAUAUGGUAUCAGAGCAGGCGAUCCUGAGUUCGAGUCCUGCCAGGCCCUUUAGCAUAAUUAACUUUCUCCCAUUUAAUAUCAAAAAGUCUCGAGCCCAGAUAUGAGGAGAUGUCUUAAAUGUAAGAAUAUAUAUAUAUAUAUAUAUAUAUAUAUAUAUAUAUAUAUAUAUAUAUAUAUAUAGAGAGAGAGAGAGAGAGAGAGAGAGAGAGAGAGAGAGAGAGUUGAGCUAGAAUACUAUCGAUACCAAACGGGCUACGUUGCCAUCCAUUUGUUUUCGAUGAUGGAGCCUCCAAAUCGACGAUCAGCAUCAUUGAAUAUGAUCUAUACCACUUGAAGUGUUUAGAAAUCAAAUUUUAAAUCUUUUCGAUAUCAUUUGCCUAAUGAUCAAAGGGUAUAUAUAUAUAUAUAUAUUAUUUUCUAAUAGCUUAACUUUUUGGAGAAUAGCGGUCGUUUUAUAUAAUUUUUAAUAAAUAUUUUAUAUGCUUCAACAUAGUGUCAGGACAGAAGGUACUGACCAGAGGCCCUACGGCUCAUUUAAUUUUUCACAUUCUUUAAUGAUUUGUCUAAAAUGUACCCUAAUUUGAAAUUUUCAGUUUCUGGAUUGGGUAUAAAGGAGUUGCUUCCUCCAUAUCUUUGGGUGCAUCUCUCACCUGAAGAUCUCCUCACUGGUGUUAGCUUUGCUUCUGGUGCCUGUGGAUAUGACCCCCUAACCUCAGUUCUUGUGGUAAUUAUGCAUUAACUUUUAAUUACUCCCAUAACAUUUUAAUUCUACUUGCUUUCCUUUUUGUUUUCCAAAGUUCUUAGAAAACUUUGUCAAAUCACAUUUAACUGUAGUAAUUUAUAUUUGAAAAAUAAUAGAAUAUCGCAUUUGUUUACAAAAGCAUUGCAUUUGUUCAUCUAUUUAUUAUAUAAUAGAAUGUUAGACCGACGAUGAUCGAGCACUUUGAUUCUGAUACAAUUUUCUAAUAACUUCUUAUAAAUCCAAAAACACAUAAAUUUUAGAUAGUAGAGUAAAAAAUUUCUGAAGUUCAAGCGAACAUUUUAAAAUUUCCGCGUAACUUAACUAAAGUUUACCUAUCUUUACCUAUUUAUUAUUUUUCAGAAUGUUAUAUCCAUGACUGAGCAACUCCAACUGUUCGGAGAAUAUAAGGAAAGAUUGAAGGCCAUCGCAGGCGAGGAGAGGGCGAGAUAUAUCGUCUCCGAGAGCGUGUACCUCGUCUGCACUGGAACCGACGACAUCGCCAACACUUAUUUCACUACGCCGUUCAGGAAAACACACUUCGACAUCCCUUCCUACGUCGACUUCCUCGUUUCUAAAGCUAAAGAGUUCCUCAGGGUAAAUUUAUUCUGUGAACUUCCCGUAAAAGUUUACCCGGGUCACUGAACUUCAAUUUAUUUCAAUCAAUCCAUCGAACUCCUAAUCAUUUUUGCGAUAAAGUACUGAUGCAGCGGCUCAUUUAAUACAGACUGAUUCAGCUGUCGCAUCAUCUCAAAAUUAUUCUUAUUACUUAACUAUCACAUCAUUAUGACGAGAUAUAUUAUUUCGAACGAAAAUUAAAGAAAACUAGCCAAUUGGAACAGAAACAAAAUUGUAAUUUGUCAUUAACUAAUUGAAAAUUUGCUGCUUUCUUCUUUUUUCUUUUCUUUUUUUUGAAAUCUCAGCAAUUACGACAAAUGGGUGCGAAGAAAAUAGGGUUUGUGGGAUUACCCCCAAUAGGAUGUUUACCUUCACAGAGAACACUUGGAGGGGGGAUUUUGAGAGAGUGCGAGCCCAGGCGUAAUGAAGCAGCGCAAUUGUUCAACGCCAGGAUACAAAACGCAAUAUCCGAGCUGAGAAAUGAGGAGAGCUUUAGAGGGGCAAUUGUGGUCUACAUGGGCAUCUACGACAUCUUGAUUGACAUCAUCCAAAGACCUUAUGCUUAUGGUAAGUGCUUCUGCUUAAACAAACAAGUGCUUGUUUGACCGUGCUUCUGCUUUUGCGUUCAGUAUAAGUCACUUGGGUAGUAAUAAAUUAUGUAUGAAGAAGAAAUAAACUUCUAAGCCUCCAAAUUAAGUAGAAUGUCUACUUUUGGCAUGACCAACCAACCAGUCUCAAACCCCACAGAAUAAAGUAUAAAAAAAAGUUAUACUUCAAUCCUCCUAUAUACAAAUUUCUUUACGGAUUGGGUAUAUUCUGGUCACCCUCUGUGGCAUCCGUAUAUAAGCCAAUCAAAAUUUUACAUACAUGCCUACUAGCGUCUCGGUAACUGUGACAUCUCAAGGCUUAGGAGUUAGGAAUACUCACACACCGGAUAGCUAUUGCUAUAUGUGGGAGUAUUUUAAGUCUGAAUAGUCUUAGACUCAAUAACUGGACUCUAACAUUUUGGGCCAGUGGAUUAGGCCCUAUAAGUUAUUGGGUUUAGAGUACAUAAUUAAUCAAACCGCGGACUUAGCGAUGGAUGAUUUGCUGGGAAGCAGAUUGUGACAGUUUGGUAUCGGAGCGAAUUGGCCACUCACAUCGCCUAACGAUCUUGGGCUAUGUAUAUGACUGUUGCGAUUGAGUCCGAUGAGAAUGUCAAGGGAGUAAGCCUGAAUAGGCUAGACUCAAUAACUUAAAAGUACAUUAAGCCUGAUGAAAACAUCAGGGCUAAAAGAGGAUAAGCUUGAAUAAGCUGGACUCAAUAACUGAAGUUAUUAGGUAUAGGAUACCCAGUUAAUCAAGCCGCGGGCUUAGUAAUGGAUGGCCCCGUGGAAAGCAGAUCGUGCCAGCAACAUGUGAGAACGGUAUUUUAGAAACUUCACGAAUAUAAAGACCUUGUUUGACUUUUUUUUUCUUUAUAUCAUUUGGCUUGCAUUGCAGGAUUUGAGGAAACAACAAGAGGAUGCUGUGGUACAGGAGAAAUUGAGGUCACAUUGCUCUGCAAUAGCAUUACUGCGCCAACUUGUCCUGAUGAUACCAAGUUCGUAUUCUGGGACAGCUAUCACCCAACUGAGAAAGCUUACAAGAUCAUCGCCGACGACAUGUUUAGGAAAUACAAUCAACUCUUGUCUUAGAUUGAGUUCGAAUGCGUCGAAAAUUAUUCGGCCAAUCUCUUCCUCGCGCUAUUUAGACAACAAUUACGUAUAUCUGUUGUCGUCGUUUUUCUCUUUUCUUUAGCAUAAAUUUUACGGAAUGGAGUGUGACCGUGAAUGAAUGGGCGCUUGCAGUCACGACAUCCAAUGGAUUUGUUCAGCAAUAAAAUUUAAGAAUAUAUUAUUAUAUUCUUUCCGUUUACGUCAAAUUGUACUAUAUAAGUUAGCAUCAAUGAUUAGAAUAGAAAAGUUGCUCUCUCAGUACAUCCAAUAGUAAUUAAUGGCUUAUAGUAAAAAGAAAAAGAAAAAAAAAAGAUAAUAACACAACCGAACAAGAGCUUUUUAAGCACACACACGCAUACUUUUAGUUCGAAAUGGCAUUCAAAUCUGGAUCCGAUCAGAAAAGAAAAUCUUAUAGUUAUUGUAGGUCUGAGUACAUCGCUUAGAUUGAGCCAAAUGCAAUAAUCUCAAACUGAGACCUGACGGGUAGGGGUGGAAAUGAGCCGAGCUCGAGCGAGCUUAUCUCGGCUCAAAUUCGGCUUGAAAUUAAUUUCAAGCCUAAAUUUAAGCUCAAGCUUGAAUUGAAAUUAAUUCGAGCCGAGUUCGAGCGAGCCUAAUUUCGAGUCGAGCGAGCUCGAGCCCUAAACGAGCCGCUUGAAAUUCUCAACAUCAUAUGAUUAAUAGUUUAAUUUGUAUAGAACAUAAUCUAUAAUUUAAUACAAACAUAUGUGUAAUAGUUCAAAGUACAAAAUAAUUAUAUGAAAUAUAGUAUUAUAAUAUGAAGAAAAAUAAUUUAUGAGUUGAUAUCUAAUUUUUUCAGCCUCACAUGUCUUCUCUUCCGCCUUCAAUCUCCAUAUUAUUCAUUUUCAUUUAUGCGGUCAAAAUUAAAUAAAUUAUAUAGAUAAAUAUUGAAUUAAAUUAUCCAAUCAUCUAUAACUAAAAUUAAAAUUUUAUAUGAAUAAUAAUUUUUUAUUUUAAAAAUAUUCUGUAUAUUUUCUCAAGCAUACAAUUAAUAGCAAGGUAGGCAAUGACGGGUAUAUGCUGUUACUUGGUAACUUGGAGGGCUUCCGGCUUGGCCACUUAGGGUGAGAGACAGAAAAAGAGAAAGAGAAACAUAUUAAAAAUUUAGAGCUCUAUGAAAGAAAAAAAAGAAAAAGAAAAAUGUAUAAAUUUAGUAAAAUUUUGCUCUUGUAUUUGUCUAUUGGGUUUAUUUUUAUGGGCCAACAAUAUUGGCCCAAUUUUACUAUAUUGAGAUUAUUCACUCAGCCUAUAUAUAAUUAAUAUAUAAUUAAAAUAUAUUAUAUUUAUAUAUAUUUUUAAUAUAUAUAUAUAGUGUAGAACUAUUAUGCUAUCGAAAAUAUAGAGGAUUUGAUGUUUUCGAAUUUUUGACCCUUUGAUUAAGAAUUGUUUGGUUGGGAUGACUGCGGUCCCCCUAGGAUUAAAUAAUAUUCUUAGGAUUGAGUGGUCCCUACAAGAUAAUAAUAGUAUUAAUCCAAAGAUAAGAAAUGAUUAAAGGGGUUGAUCUAAGAAUCAAAAAAUCGAAAGCAUCAUAUCCUCUAUACUUUCGAUAGCAUAGUAGCUCUACUAUAUAUAUGUAUUCGAGCUUUUCGAGUUUUUCGAGCCUAAUUCGAGCGAGCCGAGUAAUACUCAAGCUCGGCUUGAAAUGAAUUCCGAGUCUUUUUUUUUGUUCAAGCUCGGCUUAUUUAAUUUCGAGUCGAGCUCGAGCGAGCCAAAUAUCGAGUCGAACGCGAGUCGAACGCGAGCCGGCUCGCUCAUUUGCCAGCCCUACUGACGGGUGGUUAAAAAGAUUUUUUAAAAAAAGAAGAAACUUUAAAUACCCCCAGUGGUUUCGCAUUUUCUCACUUUAGUACCCUGUGAUUUAAAGUGUAUCAAGUUAAUACCCGUGGUUUCGCACUUUCUCACUUUAAUACCUUGUGGUUUCAAAUGUAUCAAAUUAGUACCCUAUGGUUUCACACUUUCUCACUUUAGUAUUCUGUGUAAUAACAAAAAAAUUUGAAACCAUAGGGUACUAACUUGAUACAAAAAUGAAACCACAGGGUACUAACUUGAUACACUUGAAACCACAGUGUACUAAAGUGAGAAAGUGCAAAACCACGGGGUACUAACUUGAUACACUUUAAACCACAGGUUAUUAAGUGAGAAAGUGCGAAACCACGGGGGUAUUUGAAGUUUCUCCAAAAAAAAAAAAAAAAUCCAAACCUUGUGCGGAAUUUAUCGGGCCUCUAAUUUUCGGGCCGGCCCGAUUCGACUAAUCGAGCCUAGUUGGCCCUGACCUUUUAUUUUUUAUUUUUUUUUUAAAGAAUGGACCAUCCAAUUGUUCUCUUUCCAAAUAAAAUUUUUUUGUCCUUACCAGGCCCAUAAUAUAUAAAUUUUCUAAUAUAUAUCAACCAUGAAGAGUCAACAAAUUAUUGUGUAACUAGCAACUAACCCGUGCGAUGCACGGAUUUUAAAUUUAUCUUUUAAUUACAAUUUUUAUAUAAUAUAUAUUAAUUUUUAUAUAUUAAGUUUUUAUUAGAAAAAUUAUUGAAUCAAAUUAAAAUAAAUGCUAUCAUGAUAUACUAAUAGAUUGUAAGUAAAUAAUUUAAAAUAAAAAAAUUUUAAAAUGAAAAAGUAAAAAGGUUCAAAUCCAUUAAAAAUUUAACAUAAUUAUUAUUUAUAUAUUUUUAAAUACACAAUAUUGAAAUGACGAAGAAAAUUAAUUUUAUUUCAAAUUCUUAAUGACUAAUUCUGUAAAGUUAUUUUUUGAAGGAUUUAAAGUGACUAAAUUUGAAAAGUAAUGUUUUUAGAACUUAUAUGUUCUUUUAAAACUAAAAAAUUAUUAUUAUUGUGAAUAAUUAGUCGUGUAUAAUUGAUUAUUUUCUACAAUUUAAUCAAAAUGUAAAUAUAAUAUCAAACACCUCACAAAGUAAUUAUUAAGCAUUUUUGCGAUAGGGCAAAUAUUUAUGCGCUCCGAAAUUUUCAAUACAUGAGAAGUUCUCAAAGCUACUGGUAUGUAAUCCUGAAAAAAAGAAAUAAUACUUACAUUACAGAAAAUCCAAAUCAUUAAAAAAAUUAUUACUUUAUUAUUUAAUAAUUUAAAAUAAGUAAAGCUAUUAUAUGAUAUAAAAUAUAUAAAAAAGUGAGCAAAUUUUACAUAAUAAAAUAAUUUUGGAUAUAUGGUUAUGAUUUCUCAAUUAUUUAAAUAUUUGUAUAAUAAUUUAAUUAAAAUAGUUUUAUAUAUACAUAGUAUAUAUAAUACUAUAUAUAUAUAUAGUAUAUAUAUAUAAUCGCAAAAAGUUAAAUAAAAUUAAAAACAAAUCCUGGAUUUCACGCCGCCUCGCCUCUUUCUAUGACGGCCACCUCGCAUAUCCUGAAGUGAGUAAAAGUAAAACGCGGCGAGGAGUCGUUAGAAAUAAACCUCCAAAAGAGAAUAAGAGAAGAACUAUAAAGUGAAAUAGGCUCCAAUCAAGAAAGAAGUGGAAAAAAAAUAACUGUGUGCAGUUAAAAAAAAAAAUAUAAUGUGCAUUAAAAAAAAAUUUAUUAUGAUUUAUUAUUUUAAUAUUAAAAAUAAGUAAGCUAUUAAUAUAUUAAAAAAUCAUGAUAAAAGAAGACCAAUUUUACAAUAUAAAAUUGAAUGUUGGUUUGUAUGGUUUGUUUUCUUCUAAUUUUUAAAUAUUUGUAUAUAAUAAUUAAAUUAGUUUAUGUAUUAAUUUGGUUGUAUAGGUUAGAUUUUUAAAAUACUUAUAUUUGUAUAAUAAUUUUUAAUUAAAAUUAGUUGGUAUAAUUCUCUAAAUUACUUAAAUAUUAGUAUACAAUUUAAUUAUAGUUGGUUGAUCUUCUUCUAAUUACCGAUUAAAUAUUUGGUAUAAUUAAAAUAGUUGGUGUAUAAGAUAUAUAUUAUAGAUAUAUAUAUAUAUUAUUAUAUAUAUGAUGUAUAUAUAUUAUGAUAUAUGAAUACUCGUAUAUAUAUAUGCCGAAUUGCACUUGGAACACUUACUUUUGUAAAGUGCGCCAUCGGGCCAAUCAUAUGUUCAAAUUGGAACAAUCGUCUCCAAAUAAUAUAUAUUAUAUAUGAUAUCCUAUGCUUGUUAUUAUAAAUAUUGUCAUAAAAAAAGAAGGGGAAAAGAAAAAAAAAAAUGAACUUUAAGUUCAUAGCAAGUUUUCUGUACAUAUUUCCAUAAAAACCACGUAAAACUGACAAAAGAGAAAAAGAAUAUGUAAAAAAAAAUGUUCAAAAAGUUUAUAGAAUUUUUCGGGUGAAUCAAUUUUGCGAGCUAUGUUUUGUUUAUGUUUGUUAAUACAGUUAUUGAUGCUCUGAAUGCCAAAAAUAAUAAAUUUGUUGAUAUUACUGAAAUCAAAAAUGGCAAUUUAUCGUUUGUUUUAAAAAUAAAAAUAAUACAGAUUAGCAAUAAAAGAAUUUAAAUAUGGUGUAUAAAUUAUAAAGUUAACGAUCAUUCAAAAGAGCUAUUACAAAAAAAAAAAAAAAAAUACAGUGUAGUAAAUGAAAAAAAAAUCUAAUAUAUAGUGUAGGAGGAUGUAAUUAAGUCUAUACGGAAAGAAAAAAUCACAAAAUGAAAAAACAAAUAAAUGUGGUAUAGUUAUUAAACACUUAAAUAUAAAAUUACAAAAUAACAAAACAAAAAUAUAUAAAUUAAGAAAUUGUAAAAUGUAAAUACGUUACAGCGUACGGUGGUAAUUGAAAUUUGCCCAAUAAAAAGACAAAAACGCACGAAGAUGGAUGGGGUAGGAUCACCGAUGACUAUUUUAUUAUUAAAUCUAAAGUUUAAUAAUAAAAUAGUCGUAACACUAAAAAUAGUAGGCUCGAGGACGAAGGGUUCUAUACUCAUAAGAGUAUAGUAACCCUACUCUAUAUACUCUUAUAAGUAUUCCUUCCUCUUCAUAAAUUGUUUUCGAUAAUGGGGCUUUCGAAUCGACGAUCCACACUGUCAAAAAUGAUUUAGAGUAUUUAAAAUUUUUAAAAAAUAAAUUUCGUAAUUUUUUGAAAUCAUUAUAAAGUUGGGGACUGAUGGUGCAAUUAAAAAUAUAUGCGGACCCCACAAGCCCCCCGAGGAGAGAUUUUUUUUUAUAAUAUUAAUUUCAAAUUUAAAUUUAAAAAUCUAAAUUUUAUUUUUGAAAACUAAAGUGAAAAAUAUGCAAAGUUUAAAGACCAAAAUUGACAUAUAAAAAAAACCAAGCAGACGUUGACAUGACAAUUUUAUUGAUUAUAACACAUUUUUUAAUGGUUGGGGUGUAAUCUCAACGAAAUCAAGAGGAUUGAUAAUUUGAUUGAAAAAAAAAAUAUUAGAGACCAAAAUAAAAAUUAGUGUAAAAGUUGGGGACUAAUUGUGUAAUUAACCAUUAAUAAAAAUAUAUGUGGGCUCCACAAGCUCCCCAAAAUAAGGAGGGGCCUUCUUUAGCGUUCCUUUGUCAUGUAUUUUAUAGAAGAUAGAUAGAUAGAUAGAUAAAUAUUUUAAUUUUAAGAUUAAUUUCAAAUUUAAAUUCAAAAUUUUGAAUUUUUAUUUUUGGAAAAAAAAGUGAAAAACACACAAAAUUUAGGAACUAAAGUUGACAUGCAAAAAAAAGCUAAAUAGGUGAUGGCAUGAUAAUGUCGUUAAUUCUAAAACCUCUUUUAACAACGCCAUUGAAAGUUUGAUUGCAAAAAAAAAAAAAGAUUAGGGACCAAAAUAAAAAAUAGUGGAGGAUUGGGGACCAAUGUGCAAGAGAUUUGAAAUUUUGAUUGCAAAAAAAAAUUAGGGACCAAAAUAAAAAAUAGUGAAAAUGUUGAGGACCAAUAUGCAAUUAAUUUUAAAAAAAAUUGGAUGUGAGCCCCACAACUCUCCAAAAUAAAGAAAGGCCUCCAAAACGGUUGGGGAUUCAUGUAUUUGAUGAUAAUGUCGUUAAUUCUAAAACUUUUUUUAACAGCGCCAUUGAAAAUUUGAUUGGAAAAAAAAAAAAAGAUUAGGGACCAAAAUAAAAAAUAGUGAAAAUAUUGGGGACCAAUUUGUAAAAGAUUUGAAAAUUUAAUUGCAGAAAAAAAAUAGGGAUCAAAAUAAAAAAUAGUAAAAAGAUUGAGAACCAAUGUGCAAUUAAUCCUUAAAAAAAUUGAAAUUGAGCCCCACAACUCUCCCAAAAUAAAGAGAGGCCUCCAAAGGCGUUGAGGAUUCAUGUAUUUGAUGAUGAUAGGCUACAGUAAUAUUAUAUUGCAAAAUAAAAAAAACAAUUAUAAGCGGUUAAAGGUCAAUGAUCUUAAUUAUGCAUUUAACAAAGAGUAGUGUUUCUAUACUUGUUAUUUUUCGAUACCGUUCAUUUAUUUCUAUUCAACGAUUCAAAUUUAAUUUUUUUUUAAUUAUGACCUGCAAUAGCAAGUCACUAUGAAAGAGAUAUCGGUUACUAGAUACCCGAAAGAGGGAUGUUCUGCACUGUUACUACAUGGAUAAUUUAGUAAUUUUACCUCUAUUAUAUUAUCAAAAUUCUCUUCUCUCUUUGUUUUCUUUUUCUCUCUCUAUCUUUAGUAGAGAUGUAAAGGGGGUCAUAUUCGAGGAGGAUAUUUAAAACCUGAAUCCGACUAUUAAAUCCGAAACCCAAACCCAAAUCCAUAUUCAAUGAAUUUUAGAAAAUCAUGUCUACACGCGUAUCUGACUUAAAUCCGAAAUCCGAACCCUAGCUUGAACCUGAAAACCCGAACCCCAAACAUUAUUCCUCUUUACAAUAUUUCAGAAUAUAUUCCUAAUCAAUUACCCACAUUCAAUUUUUUUUUUAAAUAGCGAUACAAAAUUAAUGUCUAAACUAGAAAAGUUUUAAAAUUUUUUAAAACAUAUUAAAUAUGUUGAAUUUAAAUAUUUAUCCAAAUUCAAUAUUUUUUAAAUUAGUGAUACAAAAUUAAUAUCUAAACUAGAGGAAUACAAAAAUUUCCUAAACAUAUUAACUACGCUGAAUUUAAAUAUUUAUCAAUAUUACCAAUUUUUUAAAAUAAUAAUACAAAAUUAAUGUAAAAUAUAUUAAAUAUGUUGAAUUUAAGAUUUUAGCGUGCAUAAUUUUUAUUUUAAGAAUAAAUUUGAAUUAUACCCAAUAUUCCUAAUCAAUUACCACAUUCAAAUUUUUAUAAAUAGUGAUACAAAAUUAAUGUCUAAAGUAAAAAAAAUUCUAAAUUACAACAUAUUAAAUAUGUUGAAUUUAAAUAGUGGUACAAAACAUUACAACAUAUUAAAUACGUUGAAUUUAAUUUUAUUUUAUUUUUUUACCUACAUUCAAUUUUUCAUCACUCCUACAUUAAUAAUUUGUCGAUAUUUAACCAAUUAAAUUAAGUUGAAGAAUUUAAGUAAAUAAUUCAGAAAGCUCGAGUAUGAAAUUGUAACAAAUUAAAAUUUGAUGACCAACGUAUCAAGCGCCUAAUAGUUACUUUGACGAAAAAAAAAGUAAUUUACCCAAAAAUACACACCUCAACUUCAACUCUUCUGUUGAGAUGUACCCUUAACCCAAAAGUAAUAGUUAUUAGCUUUUGAUUUUCUAAAAUAAAGCAACUUUUGUCAAAUUUAUCGAUAAUUUUAACAAGUUAAAUAAAUUUAACUAUUCUUUAACAAAUUAAAUUAGAGCAAGUUGUUUCUGAUAGUUAAUAGAAACAUCAAAAUUAACGAUAUUUUAAAUUAAAGUAAUUAGCAUAACUCAACUAAAUUUUUUUUAAAAAAAAAAAGUUAAAAGAAUCUAAAUCUAAAUCUAAACAUAGUAAAAAGUAAGAAAAAAGGCCAUUUGCAAAUGGUGUAUAGUUCAGAGGUUCUCCAUACUAUAUUGAAAAAUACAAAAAACAAUUAUCUAUUAAACAUAAUGAAUCCACAAUAUUUCUUGCCACGUGGCAAGAAACCCUUCAUUCUUAGGUUAAUAGAUAAAAAAAAAAAAACCCACUUUGAGUCAAAUCAAUUCUCUAAAAAAUAAUAACCCACUUUGAACCAAACCAAACAUAAUGAAUUCACAAUAUUUCUUCCUCUUCCUAUGGUUUCUCUUUUCAUCUCUCUUACGUUAUAUUUAAAAGUUAUCUUAAUUUGUUAGUAGUGGGGCUCAUUAUUUUUUAAUUAAUGUGAAAUGUUUCUUCUUCCUACGCCUUCUCUUAUCAUAUCUCUUACUUUUAUUUUUAGUUAUAAAUGAGAACAAUUGCUAAUUAAACAUUGCUAAAAAAGAAAAAAAUAUUAAUUAAGUAAGUUACACAUUCAUAAAUCAUAUUGCUAAUUGAUAAUUUAGAAGGUCACCCGUUAUCUAAAAUUAAAUUUUGAACUUUAAUUGGGGUGAUUAAUAUGGAGAAUUAAUAACAAAUGAAUAAGAGAAAUUGAUGGGAAGAGAAAUAGUUGAGAAAAAAAAAAAGGGAAUAGUAAGAUAAAUCAAAUGAUAAAUGAUCAUUUAGAAAGUCACAUAGGCAUCUCUUUUUCUCCCCCUCACCCCACCUAAGUAUCACAUACGUCGCCCGCCUUCGCUCCACCACGGACUCCCUCGCCUUUCACUCCCCCACAAGAAGACCCUUUUCGAUCAACAUCUGAAGCCCCUCCUUCGAUCGCUCCCACUCCUUCCCCAACGAUCCCAAUCCUGAUUCCUAUUUGGUCUUUAUUUAUUACUUUUUAAAUUUCAUUUUAUAAUAUUUUAGUUUACUCUUUUUUUGUUUGCUCUAGUAUUGAUUUUAAGUCAGUAGAUGAUUGCUCCAAAUUCUAUGUCCCAUAAAUAAAAACUAAUUUGCGAAAGGAAUAAUAUGUAAGUACUAUGUAAAUUUCAAAUUUUGCAUAAUUUGGAGUUUUUUAUGAUUUUUUAUUAUGUGAGUUUUAUAUUUUUUUGGUUAUGUUAUUCUGGACUCGAUGCGUAUAUUUAAAUAAUUUAGUGAAGAUGAAUAUAUCUGCUAUAAUGCUCGGGUCACUUUACUAUUGAUUUUUAAGAGAAAUUUGAUUUGCGUCAAAAAAAGAAUCGGACGGAUGAAUCUAUUUAUUUGAUUUGUUAAAUGUUAAUUUAAAUCUUUUCAGUGUGCUCUUUAAUAUUUGUUANNNNNNNNNNNNNNNNNNNNNNNNNAACACCCCAACACACCCACACAAAAAGAGAUCUCCAGAGUACAGUAGAAGAUAUCUGCCAGCCACACCACACCACCCACACCAUAAGAAGCUUUCGACUCCUUCUCAUCCGCGAAGGGUGUUCUUUGAAUGUUAGGUUUAGCGGACAUGUAUCCUUUGAAGCACACUCCUUUUGUCCGUUCAGAUCACUUGCGCCGGCAGGCCUCCACUCAACGCUUCCUCCUCUUCUUUCUCUGCAUCUUCGGAAAGCUUCUCCCAUCUCCCUGUCAUCUCUACUAACAAACAAAAUAACAGAAAAAUACAAGAAGAAGAGAGCUAGACUUCAAAAGGAUCUGUGAGUCAAGCCUACCUGCUACUGGCCGUAUUUACAGACGUGAUGUGUAGUGUAGAUCUACGUCCUGAUCAACAAAUGAUGUCGGGCCCAUCAACUUGAUUGUUGUCAAUUCCACAGUUUCACCGAGAUUAGAUGAAGACAAAUACAAAGCUAGAACUAUUCACAGCCGUUCCGUUCAGCCAGCUCCUUUGCGCGUCGCUGAAUUUUUCCGAAAGAGAAGCCAGAGAUAUUCCUCGCGACAUAAUUCACGAAAUUGUCAACAGUUCAUUGCCGUGCAAUAUACUUAAAUAUGAAUAAAAAACUUAUACAUUUAUUUUUUAAAUACUACGAGUUAUUUAUCUUUAUAUCUUAAUUUUAUAUUUUAACUAAUUCUGUUUUUAAAGAAAUCCGAAUUUUCAGACAGAAAUUUAAAAAUUAAAAGCGGAAUUUUAAUACUUUAUUAAGUCCGACGUGGAGAUUUUCCGAAGCCGAAGUAAACUAACACUGAUGGUGAGAGAGAGGUCGCUGGGAUACGUGAUUCCUAACAAAAAAGACAACAUUUGUGGGCAAAAUAAUACAGAUGAGCAAUAAAUUUUAUCGCCACUAUACCAUAGUUACUUAUUGUCGCGCUCAACGUAAGAGAGUGCCAACUGAUAUAGUUUCACCCCCGAUAAAAAUGGUACGAUCACUAUUAUGCUUUGUUUGUCACUAAGAUUGCUCGGAAUGAAUUAUUUAUUUCGCGACUUAAAGACUUAGUUAUACUAAGCCCGCUAGAAGGCGCAAAACAAAAUGACCGGACCCGAGAGAGACUUAUAUAUUUGCAGAGGCGGGAUGACAUUGAGCUCGCGCUUGCCCUUGUCCUUUCUCGACCAUCCACAUCAAUCCCGCGUCCGAAGAGGCAUCAGAAUCAAUUCAUCACACACUGCUAUAUGCGAUCAAAGGAAAAUCGAUGCCUACAUAUAACAUUAACUCAAAGUGCAGCAGAUAACAAAAAAAAACCGUCAGAUUAGACAAUUCCAAAUAGAAAGAGCCAGAACUAGAGCUGGUACAUAAUAGUGGAACGAGAGAGAAACAUCGCAUAGAGAUCGAGAAAGCACGAAUCCGGGUCACUGCAAUGGAAGGAAUAACGAUCAGGCAACGCUUCACCUAUACUUGGGGAAAGCACACACUGCUAUCGGUUCCACCGAUAGAUUGAGCAGGCUGCCUAACAUUAGGAUCCUGUUUGGAGAUUAAUUAGAGUUAUAAGGCAAGUGCUCCCAUCUGAAUUCAAGUGUCCAAGCUGUAAGUGUCACAUGAUGUUGCAGCACUGAUGACUCAACAUGGUCAUUCCCCCUCGCAUGCAUAUCCAUUUAAUUUGAUUCAUGACAAGCCCUAACUAAAUAAUUAAAACUACUAGCAAUAAAUUGGAGGCAUAUAAUUUAAUUAUGCUUUCUUUUUCUUCAUUUAUCAAUAUAAGAUAUUAUAAUUCCGUAAUCCAAUGGUCUGACUACUAACGUAUCGGUCACACCCAGUCGCACUCUAUAGUAUCUUUAAUUCCUAACCAUAUGUGAAACCUAUCUGAGCUGAGCCACUUUCUGCGAUUAAAAAUCAAAUUAAUUUUUCUGAAUAAAUUACAUACUUUGAAAACUUCAUUUGUUGUUUCUGAACAAUUCAAAUAGGCUGGAGUAUUUUCAUUGAUUGAGCAUGCCGAUUUGAUGAUCAAGCAGCAAACAGACGAGAGCAUUUGAACUUCGAGAUUUCUUCAGAGUAUUUGUUAUUUAGACCAUGAUCCGAGUGUUCUUUUCUUCCCAAUUAAACAUGAUUUUGGAGUGGUUUUGUCACUCAUUUAAGAUUCAGUGUAGCUCAUCGGAAAGAUUCACUUCCACUGUGAUACUAAACAAAAAGUUAUAUCACUAAUCAUGGGUGCGAUUAAUUACCUUCGAUAAAUCACACGAGGGAAGAGAAUUUGAAUGCUAAUUCCUUUUGAAGUCAAAAUUAGUAUUAAAACAUCGAAUAUUAAAGGAUCCAUUUCAGAUAGAAGUUAACACAUCAAUUAAACUUAAUCUCAGAUGGCGAUUUUAUUUCUCCUACCAUCUCAAAAUCCAAAUAAUUAAUAGCUAUAAACUGUAGCCACUUUAGAAUAAGCUCUUUAAAUGGCCAGUUCCUCCUCUAAACUGAAAUUACAAGCAUUAAUUAUCAUUAUUUUACAAAAAAUCAUAUGAUUUUAUAUUAAGCUAAAUGGCACGAAUACAUGCGAAGGCUUAAUUAAUUAGUGCUAGGCAAUCUAAUUGAAAACUUAGUAAAAUUCCAAACCCAUGAUGAUUGAGACUAUUAACAUAAAAAUCCGCUUGAUUUAGACUAGAAAACAAACCCCUGAACCUUUUUGGUGUUUUAAAUCAACUACUCGUCGGUUUGACUUAAUCAUAUGACUAAUACAGUUAUAGAUUAGUUUGAUUAAUAAAGUAUGCAAAAUAGAUUUAGAUGCACUAAGGGCUAUGUUUGAAUUCAAGGGUGAAUUGGAAGAAUAAAUAAAAUGGUGAAUGAAUUGGAAUGGUAAUUCUGAAUGACCCACUCCCCCAGAGUACUGGUUUAUUGCGGAUUGGGAAUUGGAUAAGAUUAUCACCAUUGUCAUGUUUGGUUGUACUAAACAAAAAAAUUAUCUAGAGAUGGCUAUAAACUAAUUUAGUUCUCAAAUAUAAAUUUAUAGUUAUUAAAGUUUAGAAAAAUAUAAUACUAGCUAUUCUCGUAAUUAAGUUUUUCAAAAAAAAUAUCAAAUUAUUUUUAAAAACUUUACUGUGAUGGGUUAGGGAUUGAGGGUGAGAGAGAAUAGUUUUUUUUUUUUUGAUGAGAAAGGUUGAAGAGAAAGAGUGGUGAGAUGGUUACAUAAGACUUGACGAGAAUCUUAGGGGGGUCUUCCGAAAUUAAAUCUCAAUCCGGACGUAGAAGACCAGAAAUUCAAGUUGAAGGCUAAUGGGUUCAUCUCCCCAUUCCAGUCUGGAAUCAAGAAAAUCCUCCACCAAAUCCGAUGUCAUCGCGGAACGCAAACCAAAAUUAACCGGAUUUGAUCAAACUGAUUUCCAUUCCAUACUGAUAAAUGGAUGAACCACGAAGCCCCUAAGUGUUUUCACACGCUCGUGAAUUUGGCACUUGUGCAUUAAUUUGUUAAAUCAUAUAAAGAUCAUUGCUCUUGUAACAGGCUACUAGUUAGGUGAUCCGCGGAGCAGCGGAAAAAAAAAUUGUAAUAAAAAUUUAAAAUUAAAUAAAUAAUAUAAAUGUAAAUAAUGAAAAAAGAAUAUAUAACCAUAUUGAUUAGACUUAGUAGAGAGAAGAAGAGACGAGAAGAGAGAGUAAAAUGGAAUCAACAACUUCAACGAAAAAUACUGAAAAAACCGAAAAAAGAAAGUAGAAUUAUGUGAGAAGAAAAAAUUGUUAAUAGAUACUAUAAAAAAAAAUGUUUGAAUCUAGCAGUGAAAAGAUUUUUUGGUUAUUCUGGACUCGAUGCGUAUAUUUAAGAUAAUUUAAUGAAGAUGAAUAUAUUUUAUUUUUUUACUGAUAAUUUAUUAUUUUUAAAUUUUUAACUUUAAUAGUAUCUAUCUGCUACAAUGCUCGGGUCACUUUACUAUUGAUUUUUAAGAGAAAUUUGAUUUGCGUCAAAAAAAGAAUCGGACGGAUGAAUCUAUUUUUUUGAUUUGUUAAAUGUUAAUUUAAGUCUUUUCAGUGUGCUCUUCUUGCUAGAUUUCAAACAUUUUUUUUAUAAUAUCUAUGUAAUAAUUUUUCUUCUCACAUAAUUCUUACUUCAUGUUUGCUGCAUUGAUCAUCAAAUCGGAUGCUCAAUCAAUGAAAAUAACUCCAGCCCUAUUUGAAUUGUCGAAAACAACAAAUGAAGUUUUCAAAGUAUGUAAUUAUUCAGAAAAAUUAAUUUGAUUUUUAAAUCAGAAAAGUGUUAGAUGGUUCCAUUGUUAGGAUUAAAACUAUAAGAUGGACUUGGACGUACCCUACUAAUUAUAAUAAGUUAUAUUGUAAUGAAGAAAAAAGAAACAUAAUAAAUUAAUGCUCCAAUUAUAUUGUAGCUAGUUUAAUUCAUUAGUUAGGGUGUCAUGAUCAAAUUAAAUGGAUAUGCAUGUGAUGAAUUAAAUGGAGCACCUAUAACUCUAUAUUAAUCCCCAAAAUAAUCCAUGUGGCAGCCUCUCAUCUAUCGUUAACCGUUUCUCUUCCCCAUGUGACAGUUUAUCGUUCCCAUAUGACCGUUUCUCUUUCUCAUGCGACUAUUUCUCUUUCACAUUUGUUGUGAUUCUUCUUCUACUUAUUUCAUUGACUUUUUUUUUAUUAUCUUGCCUUUUUUAAUGUAGAUUGGUGGUGACUGAUUGAUCUGAUGCCUUCUUCAGCGUGAUAUGAGUCGAGGACGCCAAUAUCAUCCGCUCCUCCCUCAAUUAAUCGGUGGUCAAUUUUUUUGUCGCUACGGUAGAUAACCAAAUAGUGACAAUAAAAUAAUCAUUCAGUAACAAAAAUAGUAUUACCAUUUUUAGUUAACUAAUCAGUGACAAUUUUUUUUAUCGCCACAAUAAGUAACUAUAUAGUGGCGGCAAAAUUUAUCGUCAUCUUAUUUUUGCCACAAAUGUUGUCUUUUCUUGUAGUGACACUACUAUCCACGACCUCCUCUCUACCCUCAUAGUUAGUUAAUUCGGAUUCGGCAAAAAUUCGGUACGGAUAUAAUACGUAUAAAAUUCGUUUUCUAAUUUUUAAAUUCGUUGAAAAAUUCGAUUUAAAAAACAGAUUCGAUAUAAAAAAUAAAAUAUAAGAUAUAAAAUAUAAAAUAAUUUAUAUUUAAAAAUAAAAUUAUAAGUUUUUUAUUCAUAUUUUCAAUAAUUCGGCAAUAAUUCGCGAAUAAUUCGUGAAUUAUUCGCGAAUAAUUCUCUUUCUUUCGAAAAAAUUCGUAAACGGACCGUUUAAUUCGGAUUUUCAAUAAUUCGUGAAUAAUUCGCGAAUAAUCCGCGAAUUUUCUAACUAGAUCUACACUCCACAUCACCGUCGUAAACGGCCGCGUCGAGGUCAGCUUCGUUUAAUUGCUUCUUUCUCUCUUGUGAUUUUUUUGUUACUUUUUUUGUUAGAGAUGAAGGAGAUGGAAGAGUUUCCGAAGAUGCAGAGAAAAAGAGAGGAGAAGAGUUGGUGGAUAUGGUGGAUGGUGUACUCGAAUCUGUAGUCGAGAAUGAGAAUAAGGUUCCCGGCAAUGUCGGUGGUAGUGGUGGCGACGCAGCCUCGUGCGAUUGCAGCAGCAUAGGACUCCACUAUUAAUAGGAGUUAGAGGUGAGGGUUAGCAUUCCAACGCGCUAAUCGCCCCGUCCAUAAUACCUUCUUUGUUUUUAUUGAUGAAUACUUUUUAUUUUUUAUUGGUAGCUUCUAUACUUUUCACCUGGUGUGAAACACGGGUCUUUUCAUUAGUUCUUGAUUAAGAUGUUUUGUCUCAACCUGACGGAGACACACAACCACCCUCAUUUAUGCAUUCAUUGCCAUCUAAUUUUAUUUAUGCACACAAACUACUCCCUUCUCAAUCAUAAACUUAUUAGGAAACUAUGUAGUUGUGAAAAUUGUAUAAAGCUUGUGAGCUCGUUAAUGAACAUGUUCACUUUUUUCUUGGUUAAGGAUUAGGAGAAAAAGACUAUUGGGGAAAAGUUGAGCUUGAGUGCUUUCCGGAAGCACCGAGAUUUUUUUUUAUUUAUGAUUUUACUUUGUUUUUUAUGAUGAGACAUCGAUCUGAACAGAUAAUGGACAUCGUUAGACAACUGUAGUUUACAAUUCUAUUUGUAAUAGUUAAGGACUAAAUUUCGUGAUUUUUCAUUACUUUUUAACCUUAUGACUGGACGGUUUGAAAACGAAGAGCUGAAAACGAAAUUAUCAAAAAGAUGAUGCGAUUCUUAAACUUUAUACCAGAAACACUAGUCUUACUCUAGAGAGUGAAAAGAGCUUUUCGACAAAUUUCAGCUAAUAAAUUUGUAUUGUUUUCCAUACUUACUAAUUAAACUUAUAACUAGCUCAUAAACAUCAUCAAAAUUGUUGAUUUUGACAACUUUCAAACAUUGAACACGUAAUGUUGAAAAAAAAUAUAAAAGUGAGGCUUCUAAAUACUUCAAAUUAUGUAUAUCAUGCCUAAUAAUAUCGAUCAUCAAUUCAGAUAUAUCUUUAUCAAACUCAAAGUAAUAAUAUGGAAAUUCCUAUCCUUUCGGAAACACUGCAACUCAACUCCUACGUGGCGAAGAAAGUAUCACAGUGAAUAGACAUAAUUAAAAACUACUAUAGGACUAUGCCACAUGCAACAACUAUAUAUGUAUAUAUGAAAUACAACAAUUAUAUAUAAUCAAUGUAGCCUUAAAUUGCCAACCCUAAAAUUUGUUGGCGUUCACCAUUACUUUGCAGAGCCAUGCACUUCUAUAAAUAGAAAGGAUUCUUCAUGCUUCUAUUUUAAAGCAACCCAAACUAGAGAGUGCAUGCACAACAAAUAAUACAUUUUAUAUAUAGAAGAGAGAAAAUGGGGGAAUGUUGUAAGAGGACCUUGUUGAGUGCUUCUUUUGGCCAUAGAGAAUACAUUGUGCUAUUUCUAGUGAUGUUUCAGCUUGUUAGGGUUUUAGGGUACACUUCGAAUAAUCGGAUGAAGGUUCCCGCUAUGUUCACGUUCGGCGAUUCGAUCAUCGAC